RNAcentral lists this ribosomal RNA (484 nucleotides) under uncultured bacterium. RNAcentral's name for it is "partial 16S ribosomal RNA". It matches the Rfam family "Bacterial small subunit ribosomal RNA", at positions 30 to 507 of the family's 1533-position model. The record is from RNAcentral.
AUUGAACGCUGGCGGCAGGCCUAACACAUUCAAGUCUAUCUGAUUACGUUCUCUUGCUCCUUUCUUCAUCUUCUUACGUUUGAGUAAUUCCUAUGAAUCUUCCUGUUCGUGGUGGCUCACGUCCUUACACUUGCGCUAAUCCCGCAUACGUCCUGAGGGAGAAAGUGGGGGAUCUUCGGACCUCACGCUAUCAGAUGAGCCUAGGUCGGAUUAGCUAGUUGGUGGGGUAAAGGCCUACCAAGGCGACGAUCCGUAACUGGUCUGAGAGGAUGAUCAGUCACACGGGAAAUGAGAAACGGGCCAGACUCAGAAGGGAGGCAGCAGUGGGGAAUAUUGGACAAUGGGAGAAAGCCUGAUCCAGCCAUGCCGCGUGUGUGAAGAAGGUCUUCGGAUGGGAAAGCAAUUUAAGGUGGGAGGAAGGGCAGUAAGUUAAUACCUUGCUGUUUUGACGUCACCAACAGAAUAAGCACCGGCUAACUUCGUG